UAAAGUAGAAUGACGGUAAAGCAUAAUCAAAUGUUAGGUUAUAUUAUGAAAUAACUUUGAUUUAUUGAAAAUUUUUAAAUAAAAAAUAACAGUUUCGUAAUAAUUAAAAUUAAUAUUUUCUUUUAAACAAUAGCUCGACGAGCAAUUACAUUAUAACCAUUUAAUUUCGUGUGAAUUUUUAAUGGUUUUAUAAAUAUAAUAAUAUCAGACAGCUAAGCAAAGAAGAUUAAUUACCUACAAAUAAAUCUUUAUUUGUAUCAAAUAAAUGCUGAAAAAUAAUUUUAAUGAAUUCGUUUAGUCCCACCAAAUAUAUUCUUCUAUCAGUGUGGUUGCAGCAAAAACAAUUACAGCUGUUAUUGAAUGAAGCGUCAAAAUACAUAAUAAAUUUGAAAAAUGACCAAAAACAUAUUCUAGAAUUAUAUUUGAACCGCUAUUUUAGCUUGCUUGUCUUUACAUCUAUAUCUUGCAUCGGAACUAUCAUCAUAUAUGCUUUUAGUCCACUAGUGUUACCACAAAUUUUCGUCACUGACUCCGUAGAGUAUCCUUUUAAAAUUUAAACAUUAUCAAUCCUUCAUCUGACCAUUUAUUUUGGGCAAGUCAUAGCAGCUUUUCAAUGUGGAAUUGUGUCUAUGCUCAUAAUAGCUAUUAACACGAUAUUAGCGACUAUUGUCACUACAAAAUUACAAGCUUUAGCAAUUAAAAUUCAAAAAGCAAGAAACGAAGACCAAUUCAAAAAUUGUAUUCGAAAACAUCAGAAUAUAAUAAGAUACGCCAAAAAAAUAGACCAUGUGAUGCGUUUUAUUAUUCUUAAAACUUAUAUUUUUAUAGCAAUGACAGGAAUUUUUGCUGCAAUUCAAAUUUUCUUUCCGAGAAAUAUCUUUCAUGUACUUGGAGCUCUUCUUUACAUUACAACUUGUCUAAUAGGAGUUUACAUAUUUGCUUGGGCAGCUGAUGAUAUGUAAGACGCUAGCAUAAACAUAAGUUGGGCAGUCUAUAAUUUAAACUGGACAAAUUGUUCUCCAAAAAUGCGAAAGUUAAUGGUCAUCAUGAUGUCUCGAGCAAAAAAACCUUUAGAUAUUUCUGUUAAUGGAAUUCUUCCUGCAUUGACAUUAGAAUUUUUCGCUAAAUUUAUACUAUUCAUAAUUUCAUAUUUCAUGACAUUACGUGCAUUAGUAAUUCGUACGUAAUCUAUCUCAAUUAUUCAAAUAUGAAGACAGGGAAAUUUGCAGCGUACAGAAUUUUUUAUCACCAUAAGCACUAUGCUACAAUAAUUGAGCAUUAAUUUGAGAAUCAAAUAUAUUUUUUUUUAGUAUAAAAAUAAAAUUUAAUUGUCUUUAUUUAUGUAUAUAUAUAUAUACAUAAUAUAUAUUGAUAUGUAAAAAAUAUACAAUAUAUAAUACAUAUUAUAUAUGUGAACAAAUUAACAAUCAUUGGUAACACAGGCAACCUAGUGCAAUCACACAACAGAAAGCAAUCUAUCGGCACUAUAAACUUAACAUUAAGAACAAUUCGCUGUAAAAUAGAUAAUUUUGUACAUAAAUACUUCUGUUUUAAUAUUCUCGACUACAAUAAGAUUAUUUUGGAUCUUUUUUGUUUAAUUUUAAUAGAUGGAAUGUAAAAAAAUUAUUUUUCACUGUUUAUUUUGUAUACAAUAAUAAUGUUCUCAGCUAAUAAAUGCUAAAUAGACAUUACAAAAAGUAAGGAAUGACCAGUACGGUUUUUUACAUUUAUUUUAUAUCAUACUUUAUAUAUAACAGAAUACGAAAUCAUUUAUACUACACAAUAUUUAUACAAUAAUUAUUCAUAGUUUAUAACUACUAGUAUAAAUAUUUAG
Molecule: long non-coding RNA, 1834 nt
Filed under: Chelonus insularis
Lineage: Eukaryota; Metazoa; Arthropoda; Insecta; Hymenoptera; Braconidae
Description: uncharacterized LOC118068508
Source: RNAcentral